AUGUUAGUAUAAGUAUGUCUCAUGCAAUAUUUGGGACAUGCUUACACUAAAC
RNAcentral lists this microRNA precursor (52 nucleotides) under Equus asinus (donkey). Its description in RNAcentral is "mir-1302 microRNA precursor family". It matches the Rfam family "mir-1302 microRNA precursor family". The record is from Rfam by way of RNAcentral. RNAcentral also lists the same sequence under 1 other name. Lineage: Eukaryota; Metazoa; Chordata; Mammalia; Perissodactyla; Equidae.